ACACAUGGCUGACUGCCCUCAGAGGGAGACAGCGGUGGAACGCCGGCUACUCCCCANUGCUUGCGUCGGGUUAGAGGCCGGAUGCAGAAAGGCCGAUGCGCUGAGGGAGGGGGCUGUGGGCCAUCAGCUAGUUGGUAGGGUAACGGCCUACCAAGGCGAGGACGGAUAGGGGGCCUGAGAGGGUGACCCCCACACGGGCACUGAGACACGGGCCCGACGGCGUGCGGGAGGCAGCAGUAAGGGAUAUUGCGACGAUGGGCGAAAGCCUGACGCAGCAACGCCGCGUGGAGGAUGAAGGCCUUCGGGUUGUAAACUCCUUUUCUGUGGGAAGAGGAAGGACGGUACCACAGGAAGAAGUCUCGGCUAACUACGUGCCAGCAGCCGCGGUAAAACGUAGGAGGCGAGCGUUAUCCGGAUUUACUGAGUGUAAAGCGCGUGCAGGCGGUCUGGUAAGUCGAGCGUGAAAGCUCCCGGCUCAACCGGGAGAGGACGUGCGAAACUGCGAGGCUAGAGACAGGUAGAGGCGUACGGAAUUCCGGGUGUAGUGGUGGAAUGCGUAGAUAUCCGGAGGAACACCCGUGGCGAAGGCGGUACGCUGGGCCUGGUCUGACGCUAAGACGCGAAAGCUUGGGGAGCGAACGGGAUUAGAAACCCCGGUAGUCCAUGCCGUACACGGAUGCUGACUAGGAUGUUGCGGGUAAAAGACCGGCAGUGCCGGAGUUAACGCGAGUACGUUAGCCACCUGGGG
This 748-nucleotide ribosomal RNA is filed under the name uncultured organism. RNAcentral's name for it is "bacterial SSU rRNA". It matches the Rfam family "Bacterial small subunit ribosomal RNA", at positions 113 to 878 of the family's 1533-position model. The record is from RNAcentral.